UACGUAGGGGGCAAGCGUUGUCCGGAUUUAUUGGGCGUAAAGAGCUCGUAGGCGGUUGGGCAAGUCACGUGUGAAAUCUCCACGCUCAACGUGGAGGCGCCACGUGAGACUGCCCUGACUCGAGUCCGGUAGGGGAGCGUGGAAUUCCCGGUGUAGCGGUGAAAUGCGCAGAUAUCGGGAGGAACACCGGUGGCGAAGGCGGUUCUCUGGGCAUCUCCUGACGCUGAGGCGCGAAAGCGUGGGGAGCAAACGGG
RNAcentral lists this ribosomal RNA (254 nucleotides) under uncultured bacterium. Its description in RNAcentral is "partial 16S ribosomal RNA". It matches the Rfam family "Bacterial small subunit ribosomal RNA", at positions 524 to 776 of the family's 1533-position model. The record is from RNAcentral.